GACGAACGCUGGCGGCGUGCUUAACACAUGCAAGUCGAACGGAAAGGCCCUGCUUUUGUGGGGUGCUCGAGUGGCGAACGGGUGAGUAACACGUGAGUAACCUGCCCUUGACUUUGGUAUAACUUCAGGAAACUGGGGCUACUACCGUAUAGGAGCUCCUGCUGCAUGGUGGGGGUUGGAAAGUUUCGGCGGUUGGGGAUGGACUAGCGGCUUAUCAGCUUGUUGGUGGGGUAGUGGCUUACCAAGGCUUGGACGGGUAGCCGGCCUGUGAGGGUGACCGGCCUCAUUGGGACUGCGAUACGGACCAGACUCCUACGGGAGGCAGCAGUGGGGAAUAUUGCACAAUGGGCGGAAGCCUGAUGCAGCAACGCCGCGUGCGGGAUGACGGCCCUCGGGUUGUAAACCGCUUUCGCCUGUGACGAAGCGGGAGUGACGGUAAUGGGUAAAGAAGCACCGGCUAACUACGUG
This 468-nucleotide ribosomal RNA is filed under the name uncultured bacterium. Its description in RNAcentral is "partial 16S ribosomal RNA". It matches the Rfam family "Bacterial small subunit ribosomal RNA", at positions 28 to 507 of the family's 1533-position model. The record is from RNAcentral.